RNAcentral lists this ribosomal RNA (253 nucleotides) under uncultured bacterium. RNAcentral describes it as "partial 16S ribosomal RNA". It matches the Rfam family "Bacterial small subunit ribosomal RNA", at positions 524 to 776 of the family's 1533-position model. The record is from RNAcentral.
GACGGAGGGUGCUAGCGUUGUUCGGAAUCACUGGGCGUAAAGGGCGCGUAGGCGGCUGGGACAGUCGGCUGUGAAAGCCCGGGGCUCAACCCCGGAGGUGCAGCCGAGACUGCCCGGCUGGAGGCCGGAAGAGGAGGGUGGAAUACCCAGUGUAGAGGUGAAAUUCGUAGAUAUUGGGUGGAACACCGGUGGCGAAAGCGGCUCUCUGGUCCGGUCCUGACGCUGAGGCGCGAAAGCGUGGGGAGCAAACAGG